CUGGGAAACACCGACACCCAUAGGUGCACGUCCAGUCUCACCUGAACCAGUGUUUUUAAAUAUCCGAGGUCACACCCAGUAUCCUGAUCUGCUCAAAGUUUUCAUUCACCUUUGCACAAAAGAGGUGCAGAAUCGUGGAUCUCCAUCUGGGGAGACCCUCCAAGGGCCAGUGGGAAACAGGAACCCAACAGCGUCUCAAGUGGAAAAUCUGGGGACUCUUCCAGGAGCCGUUUUCCCUUGGUGGAAUUUCUGAUUUUUAUUGCUUGGUGUGAAGUAGAGGAACUAAGCCACAGAUUCUGGUUUUUGUCAACCCUACAAACGGUGGCACUCAGUGAUCCCAGGAUUGCUCUGUCCCUUAGAAGAUGGAUCAAUGCCAAUGGAUAUCAUCUUUGACCUUGUUAAUGAUGUUCUUUCAAGAAUGAUGUUCUCUGCUGAACCUGUGUAUAUGCUCUUUUUGUGGAGAAAAACACACUUCCCAGAUUCAAAUUUAUAACGAAGGCAAUUUUUAUUAUUUUUUUAAUUAUUUUUUUUUUUAGAGAGAGAAUAUCUAUUUUUUAGUUAUCAGCGGACACAACAUCUUUGUUCGUAUGUGAUGCUGAGGAUUGAACCCAGGCCGCACGCAUGCCAGGUGAGCGCGCUACCGCUUGAGCCACAUCUCCAGCCCUCGAAGGCAAUUCUUAAAAAAUAAAGUUUUGAAUGUCUGAAAAAAAAAAAAGAAUAAUGGCUGACAAACCCCAAUAAAUCCUAGUAUGAAUUAGUAACUUCAGAUGAAAUUAAUGGAAACAUCUGAAAAAAGGACUUUAAGGUGAGCAUAUUUCGGGUGCGUCGUGAAAAUAAAGGCUGAUACUGUCUGGGAAGAGAACAGGAUGUGGGGAGAAGGCAGGGGCUCCGGGGGCUUUUAAAAGAAAAUAAGGCUGACCCACAUUUCCAGGAAGAUGGAGGAAAUGUGCUCUUCCCUGUUCCUUCCCAAAGCUCACGCCUAACAAGAAACCCCACAGGACUCCCACAGGUGGGGAGAAGGCCGCUGGCUGGCGAGCUCCGGUUUUCUUGGGCCUCACUUGUCCCAGACUUGGAUGGAAGAAGCUGGCGGCCCGCCAGGCGGCAGGUGCAGGAGAGAGCUCAGCACCGCAGUCCCACUCCCUAGGUGAAGCCCAGCGGGGGUGACCAGGCAGACAGACAGCCACCUCUGCUGGCCCCAGCCAGGCAUCAGCAGCGCUCCUCAGACUCACCCCAGGGCUGGGGUCACUGGGGCUCCGGCCAGCGCUGCCGAGCACGUGUGAGGCGCUGGGUUCCAUCCUCAGCAUCACAUAAAAAACAGACAAAAUAAAGGCCUGCUGUCCUUCUGCAGCUACAAAAAGAUGUGUUUUUUAAAAGUUUAUCUGCAGAUUCAACACGAUCCCUGUGAGACCCGGCUGCCUUGCAGCGUGUGCUGGAUCUAAGAUUCAUGUAGAGAUUCAAAGGAACUCGCACAGGCAAGACGAUCGUUCAGGAGAACAAGGUGGAAGGGCCACACGUUGCCACUUCAAAACCGGCCCUCGAAGCCGUAGAGAUGAAGAAUACGAAGCCUCACACAUGGUCACCUCCUCCUCAACCAGGGGGCCACCAGUAUUCAGCAAGCAAGGAAGAAUGUCUGAAACCUCACGUCACAGAGAGGCCGUGUGUGUGAGCGCUGCUGGGGACAGACCGAGGGCCUGAGGGACAGGCAGCACUGUCAGGCUCAGGAGAGAAUCUGGGGCAGAGCCUGUGGCCUGGAAUGGAGCGAUGGUUUCUGCCAUGUGUCGCUGAAGUCCAAGUGACACAAGGAAAGAUUGAUAAACCGGAUUUCACCAGCAUAGAAAGGUUCAUGUUUCAGAUGACUUGUCCAGGUGGCGAAGGACGUCGGACACACAGAGGGGAGAGAAUAUUUGUACCCUGUGGAUCUGACGAGGGUCCACUAUCCAGAGUAUACCAAGGACUCUGGCAACUCCGUAAAAAAAGAUGAACAGCCCAAGUUUCCAUUGAGCCUGGUGGGAUCUGAAUGGGCCUCCUCCAGAGAAGACAGACAGGAAAGAUACUGGCAUCGACUGCCAUCCAGGACCCGCAGAUCCAGACCCUGUGUCACUCCCAGCCUGAGUGCUGCCGUCAUCUAAAAGAUCAUGCCAUGCUGGUGACAGUGUGGGGACCUGGACCCUCCCUGCUGGUGGGAAUGGCAAAGGGUGCCCAUCGGGCAUAAGGGGCGUGGGGGUGCUUUGCAGGGCAAGUGGCUAAAGGUAAUUAAAACCGUGCGUUUCCUGAACUUUAUGUAUCGUCCAGCGCGUCACAUUAUGGCAGGGGUAGACCUGUAGGUGUCCUGAUGAUUUUCUGAAGUUGAUUUUCUUCCUUCAAUGCGGUCUUUUUACUCUUGAUUUGGUGACGGAGUAGCUUUCCGUCUCACUACAGUUGCAUUCUGUGAACGUGGAUUUGGAUCUGUUGGCGUCUUCAGGUUCUUCUUCUCUGCAGACCGUGUUUUAACUGAGAAGAUUCUCCUUCUGCAGGCAGAGGUGCCAGGUAAGCUCAGGAGGACGAGGCUAAAUGCAGGUAUUUAUUCUCGAUUCUCCUCUUCUCGACUGAUAUGUGUAAAGGGUCCAGCUCAGGUGUCCCCAGUCUUUUGGCCUCUGUUCAGGGGGACUUUCUCCUAUGAAUAUUUCUAUGAGCCGACACUUUAAAAAAGAUCAUGAUUCUUUUGAACAUUUCAUCAAAUUUAGAUGCUGCAAAGUAAUAAACCCUUUUCAUUUCCUUCCUUUCCAAAUAUAAAUUUUUCCAGUUAGAACUAGGACUCUCAUGAAAAGGUCCUCCCGUGUGUUGACGGAUUCCUAAAACAACGGUGGAUUUAACCCUGGACCUCUUCCCCCAGUGGUGCUCUCCGCACUUAAUUCCUGUCUCCACCUUGGCUUCCGGGGAGGAUCGUAGCCUCUCUUCUGGCACCGAGUGUCCCUAAUCCUUCCGCUUCCCCGAGGCUCCAGGGCUCAGAGUCCUUGGCACUCAUUUAUUGAACACUUUGGUUAAAAGAUUUCCUGCAGAUGGAACACAAUGAAAACUCCGAGGAAUUCUUGAGCAACACUCCAGCCUGCACUAGGACUCGGGGUGGAUGUACCGAGCCGUUUCCCGAGGGUUCCAGCGUUUUUAGGGGCUGAUUAAUGACAAACAAAACCAAGAAGGACACCCUGUGGGUUGAAGCCUGUUCUUCUAUUCACACUCAGCUUUGUCACAGAAAUGUUCAGAGCCCCACCUCUCCAACUGUGGACGAGAACGUUUCCUAAUGUGGACCACGCAGCUUCUGCUUUGAUUCCUAGACUCUCAGAGGUGACUUGGAUGCAAAUUCUGAUCACGUGCUCACCUCCACUGGUGAUCUGCUCCGCAGGGUUCCUAAAGGGCGCUGGUGUGAAGGGCCUUGGAAUCCUCUCUCUUUGGCCCCCUGGAUCCCGUGUGUCUUUGGAUCUCUGUUUGGACCUGGACUGGUACCAGUCCCUUUGGAAAACCAUUUGGCACAAGUUUGUAAAGAUGAAGAUGGAAUUCCCACCCCCAGAUCUCGCGUGUCCUGGGAAGGACGGUGCAGGCAGUGACUG
Molecule: long non-coding RNA, 3584 nt
Filed under: Marmota monax (woodchuck)
Lineage: Eukaryota; Metazoa; Chordata; Mammalia; Rodentia; Sciuridae
Source: RNAcentral